GAUGAACGCUGACAGAAUGCUUAACACAUGCAAGUCAACUUGAACUUCGGUUUGGGUGGCGGACGGGUGAGUAACGCGUAAAGAACUUGCCUCACAGAUAGGGACAACAUUUGGAAACGAAUGCUAAUACCUGAUAUUAUGAUUUUAGGGCAUCCUAGGAUUAUGAAAGCUAUAUGCGCUGUGAGAGAGCUUUGCGUCCCAUUAGCUAGUUGGAGAGGUAACGGCUCACCAAGGCGAUGAUGGGUAGCCGGCCUGAGAGGGUGAUCGGCCACAAGGGGACUGAGACACGGCCCUUACUCCUACGGGAAGCAGCAGUGGGGAAUAUUGGACAAUGGACCAAGAGUCUGAUCCAGCAAUUCUGUGUGCACGAUGAAGUUUUUCGGAAUGUAAAGUGCUUUCAGUUGGGAAGAAAAAAAUGACGGUACCAACAGAAGAAGUGACGGCUAAAUACGUGCCAGCAGCCGCGGUAAUACGUAUGUCACAAGCGUUAUCCGGAUUUAUUGGGCGUAAAGCGCGUCUAGGUGGUUAUGUAAGUCUGAUGUGAAAAUGCAGGGCUCAACUCUGUAUUGCGUUGGAAACUGUGUAACUAGAGUACUGGAGAGGUAAGCGGAACUACAAGUGUAGAGGUGAAAUUCGUAGAUAUUUGUAGGAAUGCCGAUGGGGAAGCCAGCUUACUGGACAGAUACUGACGCUGAAGCGCGAAAGCGUGGGUAGCAAACAGG
RNAcentral lists this ribosomal RNA (722 nucleotides) under uncultured Fusobacterium sp. Its description in RNAcentral is "bacterial SSU rRNA". It matches the Rfam family "Bacterial small subunit ribosomal RNA", at positions 28 to 776 of the family's 1533-position model. The record is from RNAcentral. Lineage: Bacteria; Fusobacteriati; Fusobacteriota; Fusobacteriia; Fusobacteriales; Fusobacteriaceae.